AAAGCAGUGUUGACGGGAACUGUGGUGUGAUACUUGAUAAUAGAAAUCAUCGUCGAAAAUGCGCAGGACAUAUUGAUCAGUGCAAUGUAGACGUCAAAGGAUUCAUGUCGAAGAUGUUUCGCUACAUAAUAUGGGAUAGCGAAAGAACUUAUUUGAAAUUGUUGUACGCUGUCUCAUGACAUAUCAACAUGAUGUUUCAUCCUAUCGACUUGACGACAGAACAGUGGAUUGGUCAUUUGUGCUGCAUAUGUUCAAAUUUUCAUUCUGGAUCUCAAAAGCAAUUAAUGAACCAAUUGAGGAAUUUGGCAUCGUACUUCAAAAAGAAUUUUUGUUAACAUAGACGAAAUAGGCGACGAUCAGACCACCAAUCAAUGUCAACAUCUCUUCGGUCCACUGCAGUUGCAUGAACUGCACCUUUCACAUUCUAUCGCCGACUCGAUCGCAGGUACUCUAUUUCCUCCUAUUCUUUUAUAUUCUCUCGACUACCGG
Camponotus floridanus (Florida carpenter ant) is the source of this 489-nucleotide long non-coding RNA. RefSeq lists it as uncharacterized. The transcript is spliced from 3 exons. The record is from RefSeq and is a predicted model, not a curated record. Lineage: Eukaryota; Metazoa; Arthropoda; Insecta; Hymenoptera; Formicidae.